Neofelis nebulosa (Clouded leopard) is the source of this 1615-nucleotide long non-coding RNA. RefSeq lists it as uncharacterized. The transcript is spliced from 2 exons. NCBI's taxonomy places the organism in Eukaryota, Metazoa, Chordata, Mammalia, Carnivora, Felidae. The record is from RefSeq and is a predicted model, not a curated record.
AGAGGGAGAGAGAGAGAAUCCCAGGCAGGCUCUGUGCCAUCAACACGGGGCUGUACGCAGGGCUCAAACCCAUGACUUGUGAGAUCAUGACCUGAGUCGAAAUCAAGAGUCUGGACACUUAACCCACUGAGCCACCCAGGCACCUGUAAAGGGGGAUGAUUUUAAAGCUGCUUGUUUGACUUUACUCUUGAUUUUUUAUUUCUUAUCAACACUUUCUUCUUCAGAUUUAGUUUAAAAGUUUCAGUUGGUGUAUUUAAGGUUUUAAAGUGCCUUUCCCCUCAGCACUAUGCCUGCCUGGGGCAUUCUGACGUUCCCCUGGUUUGUGCAGUGUCUCUUGUGCAAGCUGAUUAUCUUCCUCUGUCCAAUUCUUUGUGCUUCUAUUUUCUUACCACUCUACUUUUUCGCUUCUCCACACAAUGUGCUAGAUAUUCUUGCCUUUUUCCCUCUAUUAUGUUUCUGUUGGGGGUAUAAUUCUUGGGAUCUUCAACAUGGUGCGUUCUGGUCCUUUCCUGCCAUUGACGAUAGUAAUGUGACAACUCAGCACGGGGGUCUGGCAUCUCUUCAUGUCUCCCUAAACCAUGGGGCUGGGCAAGCCUUUAUGGCUCUUGUAAUCCUGCCACGCCCCAUCCCACCUCUACCUCUAUAGGUAAGGAAGAGGCUCCUUUGUCCUGUAGGAUUCAUCCUUCCAAACCCAGUUUACUUUCACCUUCUUUGCAUCUUUUCCGACACACACAGGAAAUCGUCCUCAUGCUUCCACUCUGACGCACGUGUGCUUUGAUUAUUUGAUUUGCUGUGCUCUUAGAAUCCAGUUCCAUUCAGUAAAUGGGAGUUUUUCCCUAGGGGACAGGCACAGUAAUGGGGGUAAGAUGCUUCUUAUCCAACAGGGCAGUAGAGAGAGAUGGUCACAAAUACUGCACUUAAUUACUUUGCCCUGUUACAUAUUUACCAUUGACACAACCCUUCCACUCUACUAUGCUGUGACUAUCAUAGGACAGGGAUCAUGCCUUGUUGGUUUUUUUUCGCCUCUCCAGGAAAAGGCCCUGAAAUAUGGGCUAGAACUUAAUGUGUUGCAUACAUGAAGUAUGUAUAUUUUACUUUUCUUUUGAUCUGCAUACCAUAACUAUGCAAAGCACUUACUUAUCGACCCACAGAAAAUGCAGGGUUAAAACCCAGUCUCUAAACUCCCAGUUUGACACUUUGUCCAUGUCACUACAUAAUUGGAACGUUCCGAGUAGUAAUGGCCACAGUUGUGGGAGAAUGUACUAAGUUUUUUCUUGGUUUUUAAUUAUAAAAUUGAUAAUAAAAUGCUUAAUACUGUAUUCAAAGAAAGCCUUCCUCCUAACCCUUACAGACCCCUGUUCCCCUCUCCAGAAGCAACCACUGUUUCUGGUUUUAUGUGUAUAUUUCUAGAGUUACUUUUGUGCAUAUAAGCACAUGCCUACCUGUGUGUUUUUGUGUAGAUACAUGCUUUUUUAAAUUCAAAUGUUAACGUACUACAAAUUCUUAUGUUUCUUUUUGCACUUGAUAACCUAUCUUGGAGAUAAUUUCAAUCAGUACUUAAAAAGCUGCCUUGUUCCUUUUUUAAAAAAAAUAAAUGUAUCUAUUCUAUACCAGA